GACGAACGCUGGCGGCGUGCCUAAUACAUGCAAGUAGAACGCAGUUGCGAACGGGUGAGUAACGCGUAGGUAACUGCCUCAUAGCGGGGGAUAACUAUUGGAAACGAUAGCUAAUACCGCAUACUGGGGGAUGGACCUGCGUUGCAUUAGCUAGUUGGUGAGGUAAAGGCUGACCAAGGUGACGAUACAUAGCCGACCUGAGAGGGUGAUCCGCCAAACCGGGACUGAGAACAGGCCCCGACCUCCACGGGGAGCAGCAGUAGGGAAACAUCGGCAAAGGACGGAAAGCUGACCGAGCAACGCCGGGGUAGAGAAGAAGGUUCUCGGAUUGUAAAACUCUGUUGUUCGGGAAGCGGUAACUAACCAGAAAGGGCCGGCUAACUACGUGCCAGCAGCCGCGGUAAUUC
RNAcentral lists this ribosomal RNA (407 nucleotides) under uncultured bacterium. RNAcentral describes it as "partial 16S ribosomal RNA". It matches the Rfam family "Bacterial small subunit ribosomal RNA", at positions 28 to 526 of the family's 1533-position model. The record is from RNAcentral.